RNAcentral lists this ribosomal RNA (300 nucleotides) under uncultured Caloramator sp. RNAcentral's name for it is "bacterial SSU rRNA". It matches the Rfam family "Bacterial small subunit ribosomal RNA", at positions 496 to 795 of the family's 1533-position model. The record is from RNAcentral. Lineage: Bacteria; Bacillati; Bacillota; Clostridia; Eubacteriales; Clostridiaceae.
GCUAAGUCCGUGGCAGGGGUGGCGGUAAUACGGGUGGUUGAAGGGUUAUUCGGGUGUAUUGGGUGUAAAGGGGUCGUAGGCGGACUUAUAAGUCAGUGGUGAAAGCCGGUCGCUUAACGAUAGAACUGCCAUUGAUACUGUAAGUCUUGAGUAUAAGUGAGGUAGCUGGAAUAAGUAGUGUAGCGGUGAAAUGCAUAGAUAUUACUUAGAACACCAAUUGCGAAGGCAGGUUACCAAGUUAUAACUGACGCUGAGGGACGAAAGCGUGGGGAGCGAACAGGAUUAGAUACCCGAGUAGUC